Molecule: ribosomal RNA, 468 nt
Filed under: uncultured bacterium
Lineage: Bacteria
Description: partial 16S ribosomal RNA
Rfam family: Bacterial small subunit ribosomal RNA
Source: RNAcentral
GACGAACGCUGGCGGCGUGCUUAACACAUGCAAGUCGAACGGAAAGGCCCUGCUUUUGUGGGGUUCUCGAGUGGCGAACGCGUGAGUGACACGUGAGUAACCUGCCCUUGACUUUGGGAGAACUUCAGGAAACUGGGGCUAAUACCGGAUAGGAUCUCCUGCUCCAUGGUGGGGGUUGGAAAGUUUCGGCGUUUGGGGUUGGACUCGCGGCUUACGAACUUGUUGGUGGGGUAGUGGCUUACCAAGGCUUUGACGGGUAGCCGGCCUGAGAGGGUGACCGGCCACCAGGGGACUGAGAUAGGGACCAGACGCCUACGGGAGGCAGCAGUGGGGAAUAUUGCACAGUGGGCGGAAGCCUGAUGCAGCAACGCCGGGGGCGGGAUGACGGCUUUUGGGGUGUAAACCGCUUUCGCCUGUGACGAAGCGUGAGUGACGGUAAUGGGUAAAGAAGCACCGGCUAACUACGUG